RNAcentral lists this ribosomal RNA (253 nucleotides) under uncultured bacterium. Its description in RNAcentral is "partial 16S ribosomal RNA". It matches the Rfam family "Bacterial small subunit ribosomal RNA", at positions 524 to 776 of the family's 1533-position model. The record is from RNAcentral.
UACAGAGGGUGCGAGCGUUAAUCGGAAUUACUGGGCGUAAAGCGCACGUAGGUGGCGACGUAAGUCGGGUGUGAAAGCCCCGGGCUCAACCUGGGAAUUGCAUUCGAGACUGCAUUGCUGGAGUACGGAAGAGGAGGGCGGAAUUCCCGGUGUAGCGGUGAAAUGCGUAGAGAUGCGGAGGAAUACCAGUGGCGAAGGCGGCCUCCUGGGUCUCAACUGACGCUGAAGCGCGAAAGCAUGGGGAGCGAACGGG